UUUAAUUGAAACCAAAAAGAGGUAUAUCACUGUUAAUGAUAUAAAUGAACUAAAUUUCCAAUUAAA
RNAcentral lists this transfer RNA (66 nucleotides) under Byrrhus sp. MJTNT-2012. RNAcentral's name for it is "tRNA-Asn". The record is from RNAcentral. Lineage: Eukaryota; Metazoa; Arthropoda; Insecta; Coleoptera; Byrrhidae.